This 24-nucleotide non-coding RNA is filed under the name Arabidopsis thaliana (thale cress). Lineage: Eukaryota; Viridiplantae; Streptophyta; Magnoliopsida; Brassicales; Brassicaceae. The record is from RNAcentral.
AGGACAAAGCCAUACAAGAGCUAA